This 265-nucleotide long non-coding RNA is filed under the name Oryzias sinensis (Chinese medaka). Its description in RNAcentral is "lncRNA (ENSOSIG00000008891.1)". Lineage: Eukaryota; Metazoa; Chordata; Actinopteri; Beloniformes; Adrianichthyidae. The record is from RNAcentral.
AAAAUGGCAGCCUUUCUGUUGGUUUCAUCUCCAUAGCAACUAUUUCAGUUUUUGGUUGUUUCGGGUUGACGAACAGGUCAAUGUAAUUUCUAGAAGAAUCGGCAAAGUGAACAAGGGGGCCUUGGUUUAUCAAGUUGACUGGUUCAAGGACGUCUACUUGAGAUAAAUUGCCAAUGGAAAUAAGAUGCAAAGAGACACUGGAAGAGUGAGGCUGUUGAGGAUACCCACCUCCCUCUUCUCCCUGCACUGCCUCAGGAAUGCUUUU